This 506-nucleotide ribosomal RNA is filed under the name uncultured bacterium. RNAcentral describes it as "partial 16S ribosomal RNA". It matches the Rfam family "Bacterial small subunit ribosomal RNA", at positions 28 to 507 of the family's 1533-position model. The record is from RNAcentral.
GACGAACGCUGGCGGCGUGCCUAAUACAUGCAAGUCGAACGCAUUUUCUUUCACCGUAGCUUGUUACACCGAAGGAAAAUGAGGGGCGAACGGGUGAGUAACACGUGGGUAACCUGCGCAUCCGCGGGGGAUAACACUUGGAAACAGGUGCUAAUAUCGCAUAAUUCCAUUUACCGCAGGGUAAAUGGACGAAAGGCGCUUUUGCGUCACUGAUGGAUGGAGUCGCGGUGCAUUGGCCAGGUGGUGGGGUAACGGCCUACCAAGGCUGCGAUGCAUAGCCGACCUGAGGGGCGGCUCGGCCACAUGGGGAGUGGGACACGCCCCAGGGUCCUGGGGGAGGCAGCAGAAGGGAAUCUUCGGCAGGGACGCGAGUCUGACCGAGCAGCGCCGCAUGAGUAAAGAAGGUUUUCGGAUCGGAAAACUCUGUUGUUAGGUAAGAACAAGGAUGAGAGUGUAAAGUUCAGCCCUUGACGGUAUCUAACCAGAAAGCCACGGCUAACUACGUG